RNAcentral lists this transfer RNA (73 nucleotides) under Plutella xylostella (diamondback moth). RNAcentral's name for it is "tRNA-Ser". Lineage: Eukaryota; Metazoa; Arthropoda; Insecta; Lepidoptera; Plutellidae. The record is from RNAcentral.
GACCGAAUGGCGUAGUGGUUAGUGACCCUGACUACUGAACCGAUGGUCCCGGGUUCGAUUCCCGGCUGGGGCA